This 493-nucleotide ribosomal RNA is filed under the name uncultured bacterium. Its description in RNAcentral is "bacterial SSU rRNA". It matches the Rfam family "Bacterial small subunit ribosomal RNA", at positions 19 to 507 of the family's 1533-position model. The record is from RNAcentral.
AUGNCUCAGGAUGAACGCUAGCGGCAGGCUUAACACAUGCAAGUCGAGGGGUAACGGGGAGAGCUGCUUUUCUGCUGACGACCGGCGCACGGGUGCGUAACGCGUAUACAAUCUACCUUAUACUGGGGUAUAGCCUUUAGAAAUGAAGAUUAAUCCCCCAUAGUCUCUUUUUGUGGCAUCACUAAAGGAGUAAAGGUUACGGUAUAAGAUGAGUAUGCGUUCUAUUAGUUUGUUGGUGUGGUAACGGCACACCAAGACUACGAUAGAUAGGGGCCCUGAGAGGGGGAUCCCCCACACUGGUACUGAGACACGGACCAGACUCCUACGGGAGGCAGCAGUGAGGAAUAUUGGACAAUGGAGGCAACUCUGAUCCAGCCAUGCCGCGUGUAGGAUGACUGCCCUAUGGGUUGUAAACUACUUUUAUACAGGAAGAAACACCUCUACGUGUAGAGGCUUGACGGUACUGUAAGAAUAAGGAUCGGCUAACUCCGUG